UACGGGGGGGGCAAGCGUUGUUCGGAAUUACUGGGCGUAAAGGGCUCGUAGGCGGCCAACUAAGUCAGACGUGAAAUCCCUCGGCUUAACCGGGGAACUGCGUCUGAUACUGGAUGGCUUGAGUUUGGGAGAGGGAUGCGGAAUUCCAGGUGUAGCGGUGAAAUGCGUAGAUAUCUGGAGGAACACCGGUGGCGAAGGCGGAUCUCUGGGCCUUGCCUGACGCUGAGGCGCGAAAGCUAGGGGAGCGAACAGG
This 253-nucleotide ribosomal RNA is filed under the name uncultured bacterium. RNAcentral's name for it is "partial 16S ribosomal RNA". It matches the Rfam family "Bacterial small subunit ribosomal RNA", at positions 524 to 776 of the family's 1533-position model. The record is from RNAcentral.